AGGAUUAUAGUUAACUAUAACAUUUGAUUUGCAUUCAAAAAGUAUUGAUUUUAUCAAUUAAUCUUA
Molecule: transfer RNA, 66 nt
Filed under: Semidalis aleyrodiformis
Lineage: Eukaryota; Metazoa; Arthropoda; Insecta; Neuroptera; Coniopterygidae
Description: tRNA-Ala
Rfam family: tRNA
About the family: Transfer RNA (tRNA) molecules are approximately 80 nucleotides in length.
Source: RNAcentral